This 29-nucleotide non-coding RNA is filed under the name Rattus norvegicus (Norway rat). Lineage: Eukaryota; Metazoa; Chordata; Mammalia; Rodentia; Muridae. The record is from RNAcentral.
UAGUGAUUAAGUGCUAUGAGAAACUAGGA